Molecule: long non-coding RNA, 7058 nt
Organism: Equus caballus (horse)
Lineage: Eukaryota; Metazoa; Chordata; Mammalia; Perissodactyla; Equidae
Source: RefSeq, a predicted model, not a curated record
CCUGGACAGAGACACCAAAAUCCAAACAGUAAAUGCUGGACGGAGGCGUAUUUAGCACAAGCCAUGAUCUGGAGAAAAAAAGACAUCAUCCUUGCUCUCAAGGAGCUUACCAUUUACUUUGCCCCCAGACAGUUAUGAAGUAGCAGAAGGGAUAAAGCUUUAAUAGAGAAAUGUUGUACUCUGGGCACCUAGAAAAAAAUAAAGUAAGUUUUAAGUGAGAAUUGAGGAAGGUCUCCAGGAGAAGGUGGCAUUUGAUUCAAACCUUGAACAAUGGGCUAUAAAGGCUAAUGGGAUGGCGGAGAUGGUCAUUUCAGGCAGAGGAUGUAAUAUUUCAAGGAGAGGAAGUUUUAAGGAGAAACCUCUAGAGACACUGUCUUAAAACAAAGGAGUAAGCAUCAAGUUUGAAUCUAGAGCACAGAGUCAGACUUAUUGGAAAAGUUACUUGGAUCCAGGCUUUUAAUGUCCUCUCGAAUCUUCCAGAUCGAAGCUUCCUAAUUGCUCUUGGACGGAGGGCUGGCUCCACACCAUGAAGAAAGCAUCAACACACUUCAUCUUCCCUAGGGCAUAUCCCUGUAGCUCUGUGAUUAGGGCACUGGAACAAGCCUACCCUUUGUUUCUGUGUGUGCACAUUCGUGUGCACAUUCUUGAUGAAUCUGUCUUAUGCUUGGGACAGUGUUCCUUGGCAAUGACAUCACAUUGGCAUCAAGGAAAAUAAAAUGAUCAUGUUGGCCUACAUUGGUCAGAGAUAACUAAGUAAAAUCUGCAAUGAACUCAUGCUUUAGGGCCCUGUUUCUGGUUCUAUCAUGAAGAUCACAUAUUCUUUCUCUUAAAAAGACCUCAUGGCUUGAUUUAAGUGUUCGUUUUUGAAAACAUUGGAUUGUAUUGAAAAUAUUGUAUAAAGAUAGAGCCUUGGUACAAAAUAUAGGAAUGCGAGGUUUAGACAUAAUUGGAUAAAUUUUAAAACCUCAUAUCCCAACUUCUAAUUAAGGUAAGGGAGCUUAAUUUAAACAAAUAAAUGUUAGAGUUGACUCACAACGUACAGACAAGACCAUAAUUUAAAAAUGUAAUCGUCGUCCUUCCUAUUUCAGAUGUUAUCCUGGUCUGAAUUUCUAGCCCUGUUCUCUCUAUACAAGAGGCUCAGUGAGCUGAGGUUUUGGCCUGCUUUAGCAGCCACUUUUCUGGCACGCUGCAGGAGAGAAUACAGAGCAAUCAAAUCAGCCUCUAAGUUGGCCCAAAACAUCAAGUGGGCCUGGACAUGAUGGUAUAUUUUCAGGCACAUAUAAACUUGGCCUGUAUUCUUCGGUCUGGCACCACUCUGGAUCAGUAAAUAAGGUUUUUGAAAAGCCCAAACAAACCAUAAGGAAAUCCUGCAUUCUGAAACAAAAGGUAUAAAAACUAAGUAAAGACACACACUGCCAUUGUCUGGUUUGCCAGGAUGUGAGCCGCUGCCUUGGGAGAAAGAUAACAUGAAAGACGCCAUAAUUGCAGGGCCAAGACUACGGGGCCCAUGCAAACAGGACGAAAAAAUAGCAAGAAAGAAGCGUUCCAUGUGCUUUCAGUCAGGCGAGGGGGGAAAAAAACUCAAAAGAGCAGCUCUCUCUUGAACUUGUUCAAGAAAUGGAGACACAGGGGGAGGAAAAUGAGAAAGAACACACCAGAACAAAGUUAAAGUUUUCAGGAAAAACAUGAGGGUGGGAGAAAAAAAAAAGGCAGAAUGAUUUAAUGCCAGCCAAAGGAACUAAGGGAAUAGGGUGUGUUUUUAUAAACAUGUUUGCUUUUUUUUUUUUUUUGUUCAGGGGGAGGAGUGUGGAAAAAGAAAAAGCAGGCCCAUUUAAUGAAUGAGGAGGGAGCUGAAACCUAACUGAUUCCAUAUUAGCUGAGCUUUUCAACUGCUUUGAAAGAAAAUUUAUCUUAAAAGAGAAAAAUAAAGAUAAAGGGGAAAGACAAUUGGGAAAUAAUGAAGAUGUUGUCAAUAAACUAUUGAUAAGAGGGAUUAAGGGAGUAUUUAGAGAAACAGAAGACAUGCAAACGAGAGGCUGAAAUAAUACCCACGCCACGGUAUGCGGUGGAACUAGCUAAAGAAUUUGCAACACCACAGUGGCUUUUUUUCUUAAUAUCACCCAGUAGCAUAUAGGAGGUACUAAGAGCAGGUGUCUUAUUAUAUCACGUCUCAUAUUAAUAUCUUUCAUGAUGAAUGCAUUAAUAGUUCUCAGGGUCGUACGCAUUAGUCUGGCCUCCUCUCUCAGUAGCAAUGUGAUAGGAUUGACUAAAGCAAAAGAUGUUAAAAUGUUUGGGGGCACUAAAUAAAAACAGAAACACAUUUCCCAAUAAAAAAGACGGAAACAUAGGCAUUGAGUAAUCAAAGGAAUUGUUGAAGAUCAAAUACCAAGUCAAUGGCUAAGUUAUGACCCAUUUUCUAGAAUUCAGACAUCUUCCAAAAUAAGAGCGAGCACAGAAGGUGACCUGGGUCUCAGGUGUUGAUGCAGGCGUGCCAGUGCAGAAGAGGGGAGUUGUCUCACGUUUUAGCUGCAGCCACUAGCACUGGGAGCCAUUUUGGAAGUGGACCUUGUCUGCAUUCAUAACGUCACCACUGCUGUUGCCUGGUUUUUCCAGCUGUCUUCCUGCUCUGAGAUACACUCAGCCAAUGGCAGAGCUAAAAAUAUGACCACAAAAUCAUUCUUUCACCCCCUACCCCAAAACAAAUUUCAGGACUCCCACUAUCCUUUGUGUAUUGCAAAAUAAUUCUGUGCCUGCCCCUUUACCCCACUAGAGCUUCAGUCAAGAGAGAGGAGUGAACUGUUUUACUGGUUUCUGCACAUAGACCAGACCAAGGGAGAAAUUAACCUGCAGAAGGCGAUAACUGAAUGCAGGUUUUGAGAAUUUAGAUGACAAGGAAGUCAAGGUGGUUAGUCAAAGCCCCUACACGCCUUAUGAGCAUCUCUGGCCGAAUCACCCAGUCCUGAGCUGGCGGACAACAGAUACAGGCCUACACUACAUCCCAGAUUGGUCUCUGGGGGCCCCUCCAGCUUUGGCCCCUCCAAACCUUGCAGUGCCUCUGAGGCCUCCCUGCUCACACCUGUUACUCAUUCCCAGCCACCUGAUCUGAAGCGUUGUCAGGGUCAGUGUUUUUAUUCUGCCUGCUCUGUUGUGCUGAUGGAUCAAUGACAGUGAGCAAAGAACAAACUGUGCCAAAGAAGAUGUCCUCUUCUUCUAGGCUGACUCAGCUUGGAACAGGAAGACAGGGGGCAUCUGGCAUUUGGUGAAGCCCUGAUUGUCUCCUACGAAAUAUUAACUGAAAAUGGAUGUGCGUUGGCCUGCUUCUGAGAAGGUCGCCCAGGUUGAAUUUGAAAGGCAGAGGCGCUGUGUCAACAAAGGGAAGCGAUAAGCAGCACACCGUUUCUCUGAGCUAAUGUGUCCACUUGUGUACCACGGGAUCGGUUUUAUAUCUCUCUGCAGAUCGGUGUGUUUUUAUGACAACCAUUUCCAUAGCAACCAGGUGUCCAGACACUAAAUGGAUCUCAAGGAUAUUAAAUCUCAGCCUGGUGAGGGAAGCCCACUGUGACGGCAGUUUCCUUGGAGCCGUUUCCUAUUGAGAGCUGAUGGGCAGGCUCAGGAGACCUGGUGCGGCUCCCCUAAGGCCAGCUCUGCAGAGGGACAGCCAUGAUGGGAGACGAGACUUUUUGUUAUCAUUUUUACUAACGAUCCAGAAGGAAGGGUAAAUAGCAGGUAAUUAAACUCACGUGAACCUAAACAGGAAGGUGUUACAAACAUUAGCGGAAAAAUCAUGUCAGUGGCGGUAGAAGAAAUAACCAAAUGUGAAUGGUUCUGGAAAGCCCCAGGUUGGUAGAUUUAGGGGCCAAUAUUCCAACAUGAGAGGGUAGAAGAGAUUUACAAUGCAGGAAUUAUUUGAGAAGAUCAGGGAGAGAAAGACAACAAUUAAGUUUAAAACAGCAAAACCACACAGGAGCACAGAGCGAAGGGCGCUGAGGGCAAUCGGCAGCACAGUUCCGGCUGAGCCAAAGCUUAGGUCCAGUCAUUGAGAUAUGCUCCCCCCUGGGGGGUUCAGGUGAGCCCUGAGAGAUCAUCCGGGGAAGAAGAGCAGGGAAAUGGCAGGGAUGCAGGAAGGGAUGACGGGGAGCGCGUGGAGCAGCAUCUUCUUAUGGCGGCUCCUUAUGGCUGGAUGCAGCAAUGGCACGAGUGACAUCAGGUUCUCCCCAAAGGUGAGCCUGGCCAACUCUGAGCCCUGCCCUCAACAGUCACACUCCACCUAGGGCUUCUUUUGUUUUCAAGUGUUGCCCAUGUGCUAACUGCAUAAGGAGGGCAGGCAGAACCGGAAGGAAAGAAGGCACAGCUGAUGAAAUGGAACACAGGGAGAAGUUUCCUGAGUGGUGUCUAAAUAGGCUGCAAAUGGCCUUUUGGAGAACUCCCUUGCCUGUCAUAACCUAAUCCAGGACCCAUCUAGGCGGGGUGGCCUCCUGGGGAGGUAACACACAGGAGUGAGGGAGGAGGGCGAGGCCGACAUGCUCCUUUCUUCCUCUCUAUAAUCAUUCUCUCAGCCCAUGAUUCAUGGAGCUGCAUUUUAAAUGUGGGGUUUGUCUAUUGCAUGAGGAUGCUUGGAUCCCCUAAACUAGGUGUGUCUGUUGAAGACAGCCAUUCUUUCCCAGAGGAAAGGUAGGGGUUAAAUCCGUAACUGUCAGCGUGUUUGGCAACAAAAUAAAAGGAAACCACAUUCUCCAUGAAUGAAGGAAGAAGCAGGAGGAAGGUAGUUUUUUCUUUUUCUUUUUUUAAAACAUGAGUAAGAUCCUCAAUAUGUUUGAGAUUAUUUAGCAAAUUCUCUAAAAGGAGCCCUGGGUCACUACCCAACAGAUCAUGGAUGUAGAAACCACAUUCUUCCAACUUCCCUUCCCUCCUGGACCCCAGAGAUAGCAGGUUGGGUGUCGUGGGGGUCUCUGUUUAGUUAACCAUUAACAAUUCAUAAAAGUCCAGACCCCCGCACGGUAAGUCCAGUCCUCGGAAUGUUAUUAGAAAAUCCUAUUUCUGGUCUGUUAUGAAACAGAGGUUUUGAUGUGCUGCCAGGUUUAUGGGGAACUCUGGAAACAGAACACUUGCUGCUCUGAGAAGCUGGGGCCGGUGGGUGUUACAUAAAGCUUUCCUAGCAACUCAGGUUUAUCACAGAAUGUGAGGCUGCAGUGGAAAAAAAGCAAACGAGUUAAUGCAAAACAUGAGCCAACCCACUAUCCCCAUUUGCUCCAAGGCCAGCCAGCAAAUUCGUGGGAGUGAUUUUAACCCAUGGUGCCCCGGCAUGCCCGGGACUCCCGUGGGCUGCAGGUUCAGCCCAAGAAUGCCUGGGCAGCUCAGAGCUGAAAGGCACCUUCGCACAGACCUCACAGAACGCGAAGCAGCUCUUUUUGCCUCUGAACCAGUUUCUCAUUGAAAUUCACACAGACACAUCUUUCCCCCUUCUUUGGGCCGCUCCCAAUUUCUCUGGGCACUGCAGGAGUGGAAGGGAGGAAGGUCAUGUCGUCGAAGCCCAGCCAAGUGAAAUGCAUCUGAUGGCGCGACUGUGUGUCUGAAGUCAACGGAUGAGAAUCUCGUUUCUAAACUCUUGGAUCCCAAAUUAUGCAGAUUAGGAUCGAAUCCUUUUCCAGUGAUAGCUGCCAACUUUCGUGGGGUUUCUGAAAAGCAUAUAUCCAGUUAAUUGUUUUAACUCUCCCAAGGCCAGGAAGGUGGGGGUGGGUGAGGAGACCUGGGAGCAGAAACCACACAAAGUACCAUUUCCAAGGGGCAAAUCAAGGCCAAUGGCCUGUCGUGAUCUACUUACACACAAUAACCCAGACCGCAAUGGUGUAAAGAAGAGAGAAAGCUUGCCUAGCCCUGAGGACCAAUCUAACAUGUUGGACUGGGUUGGGGUUGGGGGGCCCAUGUCAAGAGGGAAGAUGGUUGAGUCGAAACUCAAGAGGAGAGGGGAAAGGCAGUUGGAGAGAAGUGUGGCCUUGGUGGGCAGCCCCUGACCUAAGGCGUCUGUCUGUGUGGUGCCACUGGACCAGGGCUCAGUGUCCACUUGCUGGAUGUUCAGUGAGAGGAGCACCACUUCAUUUGGGAAGGAAAAGAAGGGUUUUAUAGAAUCCUAGAGUCCCCUAUCCAUGCGAUGGCAGUCAUCCAGUGGGUGGAUAAUCUUCCGGUACAUAAAUCAGAUUGGCCCAAAUCUAGAGGGUCCAUAUCCUCCACUCGUUUGCUGAAGACAGUGAAGGGGGUGAAAAGGGUAAAAGCUACUGGUUUGCCUUAAAACGAAGAAACAAACCCAAGACAUCCUGGUUGGAUUUUCAGUUGAAUUUACCUAGUAGAAGGUGAAUUUCUAUUUUAGGAAGUCCUUGAAAAGUCACCAGAAAUCCAGAAAAGAAUUUGCACAGAGACACUUCUUAAAAGAUUGUAUUGAAAAUGAAAAGAAAAAAAUAGAUGGAGAACACUAAAAGAAGGCAGCAGACCAGCCCAAGGACAGUGGAGUCCAGCCACAGACCCUGGUACCAGUAGAUCUUAUUAUGCUCACUUAAUAGUAAGAAGGGAAACCCUCUGCAGAAGCCUUCACCCAAGGAUUCCUGCCCCGCCCGCAGGUGGGGGCGCCUGCCUACAGACCUCCGAUGCUGGCUUCCUUGUGGAAAUCUGUCUUCUUUGACUGUGCCCUGGGAUACGGGACAUGGUGGACGUGAUGCUGUCCUGCUCCAGGCCACCAAGGAUAACCUCCCUGGGACCGCAACUCUCCCCCUGUGCCCAGAGGGCCUGGGGCAGCAGCUCCUCAAGUAGGGAGGCAUCCUUCACUUAACAGAUGAAAAUGGAGCCACCUGAAACGCACAACUCUAACCCAGCACAUCAAGAUCCUCCAGUAGAUCUCAAAGCCCUCUUGACCCGGUUGAGCUCCAGAUUGAUUAUCAUUACCAAUGUACUCUUCCUGCCACGGGAUGGGACCCAAGCGUGGAGCCCCCCACACCACUCUGUUCAACAACUUGACUAUAAUUCAUCCAUCCUGCAGUCAACAAUGUGCGUUGAUACUUACAGUAUCU